UGUUGGAUUAGAUGUCUAAGCCCAUAAAUAUUAUUAGUAUGUACGCAACCCGAGAGUAGAAUGGUCCAUUUGGGUUGCAUAACACCAGGACAAUUUUUUAGGAUGGACUCUUGAGAAAAGGUUAUAUAUGAUUUAUUAAUAUAUUAUAAGUUCUAAUAUAUUAAUAUGAAAUCAUUUGUUUUAAUUAGUAUUGAUCAAGAAUUAAUUUGGAAUUAAUUUAGUGAUCAAAAGAGACUAAUUAAAUCUAUGGGGACUAAUUAUAGUAAUUAGUUAUAUUUAUAUGUGUUGGGCUUAUGAUCCAUGUUGGACUAAGUUUAUGUAUAGAUACAUAAAGAGUUGGGCCACAUGAACCAUGGAUCAUAAAACCCAUGGGUAUGGAUUUGGGUUAUACCCAUGAUCCUUGGAAUCCAACAUAUAAAUAUGUUACUUCAUGACCAAAAAGUGUGCUUCUUUUAUUAGAGAAAUAUGGAGGUGUUUUGGUGCAUGGAAUUUUCUCUCAAGAGUCAUCUUUGUCCUAGGUGAGUUGUGAUUCCAUUUGAGGUGCAACACUUGGGGCACUAUGUUCUUAAAGGCCAAAGUCUUUCUAGCAAUACCAAAUACAUCAAGACUUCAAGCCACAUAAAAUGUAUGUUAAUCUAACUAGUAUCUUGUAUUGUUUAUGUCAAAUUGCAUGCUAGUUAUAGGUUUAAUGCCUUGGAAACCACUUGCAUUUAUAAUUAGUGAAAACAUAGAUCCAAGGUAUUUAGGGUUGUAUGUGCACCAUAGGAUGUUGUAGUAUACAAAAGCCCAUUAGUGGUAUCAGAGCCAUUGGCUGCAUUCUAUUAUACUUGAUGUUUUAUAAGUUUUCAAAGUGAAAAAUCAAAAAAGUUGCCUUCUGCCCAGUGAACUCACCGAGUCCACUGGGUGACUCGUCGAGUUGCAUGUGUUUUGUCUUGGACUCGUCGAGUCCAGUAAUGGGAUCGACGAUUUGGCGGUCCAGACAGCAGGUUUUCGAGUUUUUUGGCCUAUUUUGGAUUAGAAUCAUUACCACAAAAUGUUUUUGUUCAUAAAAUUUAAUUUUGUUGUUAUGGUAAUGUUAUUCUCUUCCAAUUAUUAGAUAAUUGUCAUAAUUUCAAGUUUUGUAUUAUUUUAUAUGAAUAUGCUAAUUUCUUGAAGAUUGAUGAUAUGAAUUAUCUUGUUCUUAUGAGUUAGUUUAGAUUAAUAGAAAAAUUACGUGAUAAUUGUUUUCGAUCCAAAUUGACCUAAAAGUUGUUCAUAAUAUGUGUUUUUGUAACUUGUCCUCAAGUUAUAUGAAAAGUCUCAUUUAUGAAUUUUAAAACUCAUAAAAUUUCCAUAAGUUAUGAAAAUGAAGAGUCUCAUUUUUUUUAAAUGUUUUGAAGGUCUUCCAUAACUUGUCCUCAAGUUAUGGAACUUGAAGAGUUUUUCACUAAACUACUUUAAACUCAUAAGUUAUGGAAACCAAAAUGUUUUGAAUUGUUCAAAACUUGCCCUCAUGUUUUGGAAUUUGUAAAGUUAACCCCCCAUGUAUACUUUAAUUUUAACCCUUAGAUUUUUAAAAGUUUAAAAUUCAACCCUUAUACUAUUAUAAUAUUAUAGGUUUAAUAUUUAUAUAUAUAUAUGUAUAAGAGUAAGUCAGUCCUACCGUUAGUAUGUCUCAUUUACGAAGUCGGUCUAUAAUAGGGGUAUAAGGUUAAUGCCUAUAAAAUGGCAGUUUAAUGGGUGUCCACUCUCACCCACCGCUUCCUUGACUGGCGGAGGGUUGUUAGCGGGUACGACAUGACAUUAAUUAUCCCUUCAUUAAAAGUGUAAUGAUAAUAUAAAGUAACUAAACUUUAUUAAAUUCCCAAUCUUAGUUACUUUAGGAAAAUGUGAAUUUGGUGCAAACCCAUGAAAUUGCACUUUGCACCUUGUUAAGUCACUAAUGGAGCGUGUGUGGUUAAUCGACACACUAAUCUGGGACUGACAAUGUGUGGCAAAGGGUAGAUUGAUGUUAAUCAUAGAUCAAUGGAGCGUGUGUGGUUAACCGGUACAUUGAUUAGGUGGUUGCAACACUAAAUGUACCAAGUUAAUUUGCAUGGUUAUUCACUCCUUGUUUGUGAUCCUCGACAUCCCAGUCACAAACUUGAAGGGCACAAUCGAGAUAUAAACAUGCCAUUGAAUAGUUCAAUGAAUCUCAAAAGAUCUAGGAGUUUCAAUUCAUUUAAAACCUAAUGUUAAAUUUCGUUUUUCAUGGUGGAAAUUGGUAAAUCUUUAUUUACCUACCUUCAAAUAUUUUGUAUCUUGGAUUAUGGCAUCCCUCUUCCAAGUUAUAAAAUAUUGUGUUGGGUCCUAGCCUUAAUAUUUAAUAUUGGGUGUUAUAUAAAGGACUUAAAUCAACUUACUUGAAUUUCUCCCUCAUAGAUGUAUAGUUAUGACAUCUAUGGUCUUCCUUAUCCAUUUGGAUAAAGCUUUCCUAAUGAAGAUGAUAUCCCACAUGGAAAAUAAAGGUGAAAGAUUAAUCCAUUUAUCGUGCAUUAAUGGGACUGGAAAUCAUACUUCACUUCCUUCACCUCCUCCAAUUAUUCUCCCAAACCCACAAGUUCUUGAAAAGUUCAAGGUCACUCAAUCCCAAUUGGCAAGCAAUGUCUAUAUGUGCUCACAUCUUGGAGAUGAAGUCACAUAUUGACAAGCCGGGAGAGUUGGGUGUCGAAGUCUCGAGGAAGUUGGUUGUUGACUGAGUUCUUUAGUCACUCCCUGAUGACAGAUCACGACAUGACCCUUAUUGAUCUUACCUAUUUGCUUGUUGCUGCUGAAUCAGCAAUGAUUUGGAGCACUGGUAAAGCAAAUUUUAUUGGAAGAUCUACUUAUCAAACUUCCAUGGACAUUGAAAAUGAUAACAUUAGAAGUCCAGAAAAGCUUUAUCUUCCCAAAGGAAAGGGAUUGGCCAUGGUCAAGUCAUUUGACCCAAUGGUAAAGAGAAAGGCUAAGUCUGAGAUAGUCUCGUGUACCAUUCCUAAAGAGUCCAUAUGUUUCUAUUACCAAAAGAAGGGGUAUUGGUUGCGAAGAUGCCCUAUUUACUUGAAAGUUCACUAGGAUGGUAAAAGUCAAAAAGUUUGACUAUGCUUCAGGUAAAGUCCACUAUCUAACUUUAUUAAGUUCCUAUUUGGAGAUUCUUAUUACAUGAUGUGACUAGGUCGCACUUUGAUGUUUUGUAGAAUCGAAGAAAAGAAAGGAAGCUUAAAGGAAGAGUAAGCUGAUUCUGAUCGUGAAGAGAUGGAUUUCGAUCGCAUGGUUCGAUGAUUACAAUUUUAAGAUGUUGCUUAAGAGUCAUGAUAGAUUGCUAAAGAAUAGAUAACAACAUGUUUUUCAUUUGUAAUUACAUUGUAAGGAAAUGCUUUCUGCAAAUUUUUAAAUAAAACAAAUGUUUUUUAAUUUAAGUUUCCUUACAAUGACAUUUGUGAAAAAUUGUUGUUUAUAUGAUUCCAUUGAUAGCAAUAAUGGAAAAUGGAUUUGAUUCUCCAGUUUUCAAUUGUCUUACAGCGAAGACGGUCUUCUGUUUCUCGCUACAGUCGCAGCUCUCAAACACCAUUUCCAUCUCGGAGAUCCAAUCCAUAAUCUCAACAGGCUUUGGGCUUCCUGAGAGGCUUGGUGGUUUCGCACCCAAGAAAUUCUUGUACAUUCGCCCAUCCUUGUCGUUUCUCCUCUCCGGGCCAUCCCUUUGUUCACCUUGAGUCCCUACCUGACUUACUUGGUGGCUUUAGUUCCUUUCCUCCAAUUGCUCGGGAAUCAGCUCGGGUUGCUCAGUGGGCAUAGUAGGUUCGUCCCUAUUCAACAUCCGCCUCAUUUCUUCCCUUUGUUCAGCUAGCAUAGCCUGAAUCAUGGCUUGAACUCCAUCCAUGGUGACUGGCUUACGUGCAACUUCUUCUACAACAGGUAUUUGCUAGACCACUGGGGGUUGGGGGUUGGUUCCUAUUUCCAUUUGCGUUUACGUUUCCGUUACGGGUCCUUGCCAUCUUGAUCUAUACACCGAAUAAGGUGAAUCUGGAUCUUUAUUUAGGAUUGACGUUUAAAUCGUCCUUAUCACUCCGAAACGUUUAUAUGCCAGUUCUAAUAUCGUAUUCGUACGUUUAGAAUCCUAAACACAUAAGGUUUCUAGAUCCGGUCGGCAACAAACCAUAGAUCCGAUCAAACUAUAGCAUAACCAAUCAUUUAGCACAUAAAAGCGAUUUAGGCAUCAUUCCUAAAAUAAGCUAGUGCUCACACCUCACAAUCAUCGCUUAGCAUUCUAAGUUUAAGUCUAGAAAUUUCCUACAAAUUCCUAGUUCGCUUAAACUAAUGCUCUGAUACCAACUGUGACAUCUCCAUUUUCACGGCCAUAAAAGACCGAUUUUGUUUAUGCUUUAUAAAAAUCAGAGUACCUCUUUUAAUAAAAAUGUUGCAGAAUUUGUUCCCAGUAAAACAUGAUAAAUACGUUAUCAAAGCAUUUCUGAAGCAAAGUAUUUUUAUUCAUUUUAAAACAUUUGGGAUGUCAUCGUCAAUACAGAAACAUAAGCAUAAACAGAACUUACAUUCAGUAUCACUAGUGAUUUAUAUCUCCUUAAUCUCUCACUGUAANUAAUCUCUCAGUGUAAUGUGACUUCAUAUCAACACCUGUGAUAUAAAUAAACUGAGUGGGUCAGGUUGGGAAACCUGGUGAGUACAUAGGGUUUUCAACCCACAAUAAUAUAAUUAUUAUGUUUAAACAAUCAAACAAUCAACCCAAUUACCCAUCCCCAUUAUCUUCUUUACUCUUAAGGAUCUAUCCUAAGAGUCAUCUAUCCUGCAUUCGUUUAUCCCGAAGUCCCUUGCUUCCAGGGUUAUAGGACUGACACUAAAUCCAUAGCUGCCAAUGUUCGUUCGUAAAGCACUAAUUCCAUAGCUGCUAUAGUCUAUUCAUCGGGUACUAAAUCCAUAGCUACCAAUGUUUAUCUAAUAGGUACUAAGUCCAUAGCUACCAAUUCCUAACAGGUACUAAAUCCAUAGCUACCGGUGUUUGUCCAAUAGGCACUAAGCCCAUAGCUGCCGAUGUUUAUUAGGCACUAAGUCUGUAGCUACCAAUGUUUACUCACAUCAUCUUUUAUCUCUCAUCAUUCAUCUACCCAUGUCAUACCCAACUUAUUCGUAUAUAUAAGAUACGUAUACAGUUUAAAUCAUUUAAAACAUGUAUAAAACGUUCAUACAACGUAGACAACAAGUAUUCAGAUAAUAUGCACACAUAGCACGUAGUUUAAAUAAAAUACUUCAUAUCUAUGUGUAAGAUGAAAGGGACUAUGCACUCACCUGAGAAGGUGGUGACUCGGUACUGGGAUAGUGCUUCGUUUACUUUAAAAUAAUUUCCUUCGACGAAACCUAGUACCAAUACCACUAGGGUUUAGUCUAACGAUAACCGCGACAAAUUAAUAGUCUGACUAUUAUUAUUAUUAUUAUAUAAGCGUUAAAUAACACUCAAUAUAACUCAUAAUAAUAGCUCAAAUAAUUAUUUUAAGAACCUAAUAACAUUACUAUAAUUAUUUGGAAGCUAUAUUAAAAAUUGCGUAAGCAUAGCACACUUACAACGAAUUUUAUCGAAAACCGGAACUUAUUUGGAGCAGCGUUUCGAAACCAAAAGGCUCUUUUUCUCGGGACUCCGGGAGGCUCGGGGCUUCCUUUAGGUGGUAGGUAUUUUUCCUAGGGCUUAGGGGGGGGGGGUUAGAAACCCUAGAGAGAGAAAGAAAUCUAGAGAGAGAAAGGAAAUUGUGUGAAAAACUCGGAAAUCUUUGCAUCUAUUUAUAGCCUCAGCAGCCUCGGUUACACCGGGCGUAGUUCCGAGGUACGCUGGGCGUAGUUCCAGAUAUGGUUGCCAGCUUCGCACAGCUGGCUCGCACUCGGAAGAAGACCCGGAUAAGACCGAAGGUACGCGGGCCGUACCGGACCUCGUACGCGGGGCGUAAUGCGAAGGGUGACAUGUCAAGAUCCGAAGCGAGGCUUUCUUCAGCGAUGGACGGUUCAGAACGCGCCACGUCAUCGAUCCUUCAUCAGGUCUCGCAAUUUCAUGCUUCAACUUUAAAAAUUCGUAACUUUCGCGUACGAGCUCCGUUUUUGACGUUCUUUAUAUCCACGCGAAGGUGGGAAUGUACUCUACAACUUUCGUUUAGACUCCAUCGGCUAAUUUUGAUUCAAUUUUAAAUUUUAUAUUAUUAACAGGCAGGGACAGAUUGGUCCGUUAAAUCCUCAUAACUUCUUCAUCCGACGUCCGUUUUUGUCCAUCUUUUUCUCGUUAUGCUACUCUUAACGAGAUCUUCGAUUCUCGUUUAGGUCAUGUCGGCUAAAAUCACUCGAUCUAAUAUUCGAAUUUCGGGCUAUACACUGCUAUUCCGAAACUUCGAAAAAUCAUAACUUCUUCAUACGAAGUCAGAUUUGGGCGUUCCUUUUAUCGAUGUUCUUAGUUUAACAUAUUCUACGACUUUCGUUUAGAUCACUAAGGCUAAAUCUCGCUCUAUCGUAAAUUCACUAUUUACGCUUCCCGAUAUCGUGCCGGUUCUGUCGCGAAACUUCGACGGGUCAUAACUUCUUUGUUAUAACUCGGAUUUUGGCGUCCUUUAUAUGUGCGUAAACCUCGUGACAUAUACUACAACUUGGUUCAAAUUAUUUAUUCUAAAUAAUCUUUUGUCGAAAAGUUGUUUUCGACCCCUAUUGCAUCUAAAUUGACUAGCCUGGAUCUACGGGUGUUACAAUAUGUGAGUUAAGUGAAGGACUAGGAGAUCGGCUACACUUGGUUGUGCGCUGAUUAGGUCCACCACAAAGAACGAUAAGGCUAUUCAUCAUUAUUUACUAAUGUUUAGUAAAUAUGGUUGUGCUUACAAGUUUAAGUAUAGUUCUGAAACAUUGGAAAAGUUUCAAUGUAUGGCAGGAAGAAGGAGAAGAAUCAAAUUAGGCAGAAACAUAAAAGUUUCUACAAUCUCAAAAGAUGGUAGAGUACUUGCAGUAUCAUGUUUUAUGAUUAUCUUAGUGAUUAAGAAACCAUAUCACAAUUGAUCCUCUAUGGACAUCUUAGUGCAUUUGUUUCACUAAGAAGAGGAACUGUGAAUUGUUGAGAUGGUUAAAUCAAAAUAUAAAUCACACUUUGUUACUAAAACCAGUCUUAGAGUCAUACUCCAAGAUUGUAACCUUCAGUAACGUAAUCUUAAGAAAGGUUUAUACCACUUGCCAAAUGUAGAGUAAAAUGCUUUCUACUCUUGUACAUUUGAAAUUGGUAAGUUGUGAUGUUUUGGAUAAAACAAAGACCAACUAAGACCAAUAAUGUGAAGUGUUUUCUUGAUAAGAAUCCACACUAACUCGUGAAUAUUUGUUUGUCAAGAAAUGGUUCUUGACAUAGAGAAUCUUAUAUGUCAAGAGGUCAGUGGGAGUCUUAAAGAUCUUGAAAGCUUAAAGAACUAAUCAAGAGUAAACCUAUUGUUAAACACUAGCAAACGACUUGAGGUUUGUAACCUAUCGUGCUGACAUAUUCUUGUUUUUGUGCACAUUCCAGUUAAAGUUGACUAUGCAUGUGGGUUCUGUGAGUUCUCAGUUGUUUGCAUCACUACUUGGAAGCAAUGGUAGGCCCUUGAGCUGCCAAGUGGUAAGAAAUUAAGAUUGAUCAAGUUCAGUCCAUAUGAGCUUGGAUUUGUCACUAACCUUGUCUUGUGAUUAUGGUUAUGACAAAUUCGCAUGGAUAGGAACACAUACACCAUAACAUCUAACUGUCAUAAGGUUUCUCUCCGAUUCAUAAAAAAUGAUGCUAAGGAAACGCUUUCACUAAGUAGAUUUUAAAUAGUUAGCAAUUGUGAUAUUUGCAUUUUUCAAAUUCGUUUAUGAUUACGACAUCCUUCUUUAUAGUUCGAAUUGUGAGAAAUGGCAAAAAGGUCUAAACAUUAUGAUUACAGCAUCCUUCUUCAUAAUUGUUUAGACACACAUGUGAGCUAUCUAAGGAAAGGUGUAUGAUUUUGAUAAAGUGAAGCGUCUCGCAUCAGAAAUCUGAACUUUGGUAAGAAAGUCAAUAAAGUAUUGAUUUCUAGAAGUCCAGCUAAUUUCUGAGUACAUGUCAAAGCUAGUGGGAGAAUAAGUGUUAUGCUAGUAUGGAAAUAUUUAUUAUGCUAGUGGGAGCAUAAUCAAUUAUGUAAGUGUUGCAAGUUAGCAAUGUUAAUUAUAGAAAACAAAAGUUUCAAUUCGCAAAGUUGCAGGGGUUGAAAAGUUGUUUUACUAUCAUAAUUCGUUUCACUUCUACAAGCUUAGAUUGAGAUUUUAAUCAAAUUUAGUAAAGUNNNNNNNNNNNNNNNNNNNNNAUAUAUAUAUAUAUAUAUGAAUGUUAUGUUGGAAUGGAUCAACAUAAAGAAAUUCUAUAUAUGGAAAUAUUAUUUGCUUUCUAAAAUUCGAUUAUGAUUAUGACAUCCGUUUUCAUAAUCCGAAUUAUGAGAACAUGGCAAAUAGAAAUAGAAAUAUUAUAACAAAAGACUAGUCUAGUAUCAUGUCUUUAUGUGAGACAUCAUGAAUCGUGUCCCAUAUGCUUCAGAUAUAGGAUCAAUUAUAUGUGCUGUAAUAUUCAUCCGUUCUGAAUUUUCCAAAUGCGCCUAGGGCAUUAAGAGGGAAAAAGAACCAGAAUUAUAUAUGACUAAAAUGAUUAAGCAAUUUUCGAGGACAAUAUGAGGUUUACCAAAGAUUGGUUGCUCAUGGACAGUUGGAAGUAUGGUGUAAAUUUUGCAAGGACCAUAUUGACAUAUUCUGAAAAGAGGCAAGUCUUGUUCAGAAGUGAUAGCCAAAAUAGGAAUAUGGAAAUGUUUCCGUAGGUGGAAGUUAUUCAUUAAAUAUGUGUAAGAUUAGAAAACUUAAUGCAAGAAGAAUGUUCAAAGGAAUUUACUUUGAAUGUGAGACUUCGUUUCCAUGAAAUUGCUCUCCAUUGGAAUACUUUGUAAUAUCUGUUGCCAAGUCUUUGUGACUUCUGUGCAUAGUCUUUACAAGAGGAUCAUUGCAUAUAAGUUUAGAAUCUAACAGAUUUCGGUAAAUAGUAAGAAUUUGGUAUUCUUACAUUUAUCAUAAGGAUUUGGAGUUAUGAAAUGAGCAUCAUUGAAAUGUUAUCAAUUGAUCUAUUUCACAAAGAAAAGACCAUAUAUAAAAAUAGUGUGCAUACUUGGAGCAUGGCAUUACUUGUUUUAGUUCAAGUAUUAAGUUGAUUAUUCGAAACAUUAUACAAUGAAUAAUGAGUAAUCAAUAUCGUGAUUAAAUAAAAGGUGUUUUAUUUACUCUCAAAAGUUUUGGGGCCAUAUAGGAUUAGUAUUAUUCUCGUGUUUCACUUUGCAUGUUUUAAUAACUAGGUUAUUCAAUCCGUCCACAAUUGAUCAUACAUAAGAAGUAGGUAUUGAGGCAAGACUAUCAAGAAUGGGUCUGUAGUUUGUCUAGGUGUUUUAGACAUAGUUGUAGUAUUCAUGAGUGCUCCUAGAAUAAGAUUCGAGUAUUGGAUUAAGCUCAUGCUUAUUUGAAUCGCUUCAUGGAUUUUAUCACGAGUGGUCAUAAGACGAUAAUGUCUUAUAUUCUUCAAACGGAGACGUGUGAGUUGUAGUUGUGUGUCGGUUGCACAUUGACAUAUGUAAACGCAACCAGUAACUUGGUUGUUAUAAAACAUAUCGUUGUGUGUAAUUUGAUGAGUAAGUACAAGCGAACAUUUGGGUCGAAGUUUAUCCAUUCCUUUUACAAUAAUAGUUUUAGACUUAUCCAAGUGGGAGACUGUUGGAUUAGAUGUCUAAGCCCAUAACUAUUAUUAGUAUGUACUCGACCCGAGAGUAGCAUGGUCCAUUUGGGUUGCAUAACACCAUGACAAUUUCUUAGGAUGGACUCUUGAGAAAAAGAUAUAUAUGAUUUAUUAAUAUAUUAUAUAUUAAUAUGAAAUCAUAUGUUUUAGUUAGUAUUGAUCAAGAAUUAAUUUGGAAUUAAUUUAGUAAUCAAAAGAGACUAAUUAAAUCUAUGGGGACUAAUUACGGUAAUUAGUUAUGUUUAUAUGUGUUGGGCUUAUGAUCCAUGUUGGACUAAGUUUAUGUAUGGAUACAUAAAGAGUUGGGCCACAUGAACCAUGGAUCAUAAAACCCAUGGGUAUGGAUUUGGUUUACACCCAUGACCCUUGGAAUCCAACAUAUAAAUAUGUUACUUCAUGACCAAAAACGUGUGCUUCUUUUCUUAGAGAAAUAUGGAGGUGUUUUGGUGCAUGGAAUUCUCUCUUAAGAGUCACCUUUGUCCUAGGUGAGUUGUGAUUCCAUUUGAGUUACAACACUUGGGGCACUAAGUUCUUACAAGCCAAAGUCUUUCUAGCAAUACCAAAUAC
This 10345-nucleotide long non-coding RNA is filed under the name Lactuca sativa (garden lettuce). RNAcentral's name for it is "long non-coding RNA (LSAT_LNC006503)". The record is from RNAcentral. Lineage: Eukaryota; Viridiplantae; Streptophyta; Magnoliopsida; Asterales; Asteraceae.